GUAAACCUCUUUUAGUAGGGAAGAAGCGAAAGUGACGGUACCUGCAGAAAAAGCACCGGCUAACUACGUGCCAGCAGCCGCGGUAAUACGUAGGGUGCAAGCGUUGUCCGGAAUUAUUGGGCGUAAAGAGCUCGUAGGCGGUUUGUCGCGUCUGCUGUGAAAUCCCGAGGCUCAACCUCGGGCUUGCAGUGGGUACGGGCAGACUAGAGUGCGGUAGGGGAGAUUGGAAUUCCUGGUGUAGCGGUGGAAUGCGCAGAUAUCAGGAGGAACACCGAUGGCGAAGGCAGAUCUCUGGGCCGUAACUGACGCUGAGGAGCGAAAGCAUGGGGAGCGAACAGGAUUAGAUACCCUGGUAGUCCAUGCCGUAAACGUUGGGCGCUAGAUGUAGGGACCUUUCCACGGUUUCUGUGUCGUAGCUAACGCAUUAAGCGCCCCGCCUGGGGAGUACGGCCGCAAGGCUAAAACUCAAAGGAAUUGACGGGGGCCCGCACAAGCGGCGGAGCAUGCGGAUUAAUUCGAUGCAACGCGAAGAACCUUACCAAGGCUUGACAUACACCGGAAACGGCCAGAGAUGGUCGCCCCCUUGUGGUCGGUGUACAGGUGGUGCAUGGUUGUCGUCAGCUCGUGUCGUGAGAUGUUGGGUUAAGUCCCGCAACGAGCGCAACCCUCGUUCUAUGUUGCCAGCGGGUUAUGCCGGGGA
Molecule: ribosomal RNA, 700 nt
Filed under: Curtobacterium flaccumfaciens
Lineage: Bacteria; Bacillati; Actinomycetota; Actinomycetes; Micrococcales; Microbacteriaceae
Description: bacterial SSU rRNA
Rfam family: Bacterial small subunit ribosomal RNA
Source: RNAcentral